This 237-nucleotide long non-coding RNA is filed under the name Manihot esculenta (cassava). RNAcentral describes it as "long non-coding RNA (MESC_LNC012261)". Lineage: Eukaryota; Viridiplantae; Streptophyta; Magnoliopsida; Malpighiales; Euphorbiaceae. The record is from RNAcentral.
CUCUUACAAUUGUUUCUUAUCCUUAUAUAGUAAGGAGAAAAACAAAUAAAACCCUAAGACACUCUUCUUGGACCUGACUUAAAUACAUAAGGCACAAACCCAAUCACACACUAAAAUAACACAUAAGUAUUAAAACAUAAGCCCAAAACAUGGCCCAACACUCUAAAACUUAAAAGAUAAAGUAUGGCCAGAAUACAAGCCCAAAUAAAGCUAAAAUAAAACAAGUGUUAAAUAAUA